UUGGUUCAUGCGUUUAGUUCAUUACGCGCCUCAAGUUCUUUAAAUUGUGUUUAAUUUAUUUAAUAUUUAAAUAAUUGUACAUUGUUUGAUUAUGGAGUGUUUAAUUUAUGGAGAAACUGUAAGCGACAGUGACAAACUGGUAGUUCAAAAUCCUACAAUCCAGGUCUUAAAAACAUUAAUAAGCGCUGCAGAAAAAAGACAAGACAAUUGUGCAAAGAAUAUAUUAGGCGAAAAGGAUGAUAUUUUAACAAAGAAAAAACUUGUUAAGUAUCAUCUACUUUGUAGAAAAAUCUUUCACUAGCCUACAAAAUCUUGAGCAUUCGUCCCAAAUUGUCGAAAAUGAAGGCAACGAAGCUAAUAAUUUGGGAGAAGAAGUUUGUAAAAAAUUAUUAAGUAUUCAUUGUUUAACUGGAUGUGAUACUACUUGUGCACUAUUUAAAAUAGGUAAAAAAUCAGCAUUCGACAUUUUAUACAAAAACAUCGAUAAAUUAAAGGGGCUCGAAAAUCUGCCAUUUUUGCUUGAAGAUGAAGCAAUAAAUUUGGGCCAAAUGUAUUUAUUGUAUCUAUAUAAAAAUAAAAACACAUCUAUUAAAACUUUUAAUGAACUAAGUAAGGGUGCAUUUAACAAAAGAGUCAAAUCGAUCAGCCUCAGAAUUGCCUCCUACAAAUGAUGCGUUUAAGCAACAUUUAAAAAGAUGUAUAUACCAAUUAAAAAUAUGGUAUAAUUCUCAUGUCAAAAAAAUAAUUUUGGAAGAUCCUCGUGAAUAUGGUUGGAAAAAUGAUGAAACUUACUGGAGACCAAUAUCAGCAAUACAAGAUCCGAUCCCCAAUGAAGUAAGAAAAGCAUUGUCAAUUCGGUGUGUCCGACAAAAAUUGCAACAAUAAUAGGUGCACGUGUUUAGCUCAAGGAUUAAAAUGUUGUGACGAAUGUAAAUAUGCAAUUUGUAGUAACAGACCACAAGAUGAAGAACUAAACUCGUCAGAUUCAGAGUCUGAAGAAAUCUCAAUCUUUUCAAUUUAUGUUCUUUUUUUGUUUUUGCAAUUCCUGUUUUAACUUAAUAUUAAAAAUAUAAGGGUAA
Long non-coding RNA from Anthonomus grandis grandis, 1079 nucleotides. RefSeq lists it as uncharacterized. The transcript has 2 exons. Lineage: Eukaryota; Metazoa; Arthropoda; Insecta; Coleoptera; Curculionidae. The record is from RefSeq and is a predicted model, not a curated record.